GUUCGAUCUCAAAUCAGGUAGGACUACCCGCUGAACUUAAGCAGGGGGAAACCGCUGAUUAGCUUAA
RNAcentral lists this ribosomal RNA (67 nucleotides) under uncultured Tomentella. RNAcentral's name for it is "28S ribosomal RNA". The record is from RNAcentral. Lineage: Eukaryota; Fungi; Basidiomycota; Agaricomycetes; Thelephorales; Thelephoraceae.